UGGGGAAUUUUGGACAAUGGGGGCAACCCUGAUCCAGCAAUGCCGCGUGAGUGAAGAAGGCCUUCGGGUUGUAAAGCUCUUUUGUCAGGGAAGAAACGGUAGUAGCGAAUAACUAUUACUAAUGACGGUACCUGAAGAAUAAGCACCGGCUAACUACGUGCCAGCAGCCGCGGUAAUACGUAGGGUGCAAGCGUUAAUCGGAAUUACUGGGCGUAAAGCGUGCGCAGGCGGUUGUGUAAGUCAGAUGUGAAAUCCCCGGGCUCAACCUGGGAAUUGCAUUUGAGACUGCACGGCUAGAGUGUGUCAGAGGGGGGUAGAAUUCCACGUGUAGCAGUGAAAUGCGUAGAUAUGUGGAGGAAUACCGAUGGCGAAGGCAGCCCCCUGGAAUAACACUGACGCUCAUGCACGAAAGCGUGGGGAGCAAACAGGAUUAGAUACCCUUGUAGUCCCUGAGCGGGCUGGCAAGGCGCAU
This 472-nucleotide ribosomal RNA is filed under the name uncultured bacterium. RNAcentral's name for it is "bacterial SSU rRNA". It matches the Rfam family "Bacterial small subunit ribosomal RNA", at positions 355 to 825 of the family's 1533-position model. The record is from RNAcentral.